Molecule: ribosomal RNA, 517 nt
Filed under: uncultured bacterium
Lineage: Bacteria
Description: bacterial SSU rRNA
Rfam family: Bacterial small subunit ribosomal RNA
Source: RNAcentral
AGAACUUAGCAGAGAUGCUUUGGUGCCUUCGGGAACUCUGAGACAGGUGCUGCAUGGCUGUCGUCAGCUCGUGUUGUGAAAUGUUGGGUUAAGUCCCGCAACGAGCGCAACCCUUAUCCUUUGUUGCCAGCGGUUAGGCCGGGAACUCAAAGGAGACUGCCAGUGAUAAACUGGAGGAAGGUGGGGAUGACGUCAAGUCAUCAUGGCCCUUACGAGUAGGGCUACACACGUGCUACAAUGGCGCAUACAAAGAGAAGCGACCUCGCGAGAGCAAGCGGACCUCAUAAAGUGCGUCGUAGUCCGGAUUGGAGUCUGCAACUCGACUCCAUGAAGUCGGAAUCGCUAGUAAUCGUGGAUCAGAAUGCCACGGUGAAUACGUUCCCGGGCCUUGUACACACCGCCCGUCACACCAUGGGAGUGGGUUGCAAAAGAAGUAGGUAGCUUAACCUUCGGGAGGGCGCUUACCACUUUGUGAUUCAUGACUGGGGUGAAGUCGUAACAAGGUAAGCGUAGAUGA